RNAcentral lists this ribosomal RNA (467 nucleotides) under uncultured bacterium. RNAcentral's name for it is "partial 16S ribosomal RNA". It matches the Rfam family "Bacterial small subunit ribosomal RNA", at positions 28 to 506 of the family's 1533-position model. The record is from RNAcentral.
GAUGAACGCUGGCGGCGUGCCUAAUACAUGCAAGUCGAGCGGAAAGGCCAGGAGUUUGUGGGGUGGACGAGAGGGGAAGGGGGGAGAGAAACGUGUGUAUAAUGCACCUGUAAGUGGGAUAAAACCAGGGGAAAGGGGGGAAAAUGGAGGAGAAGCUCUUGAACCGCAGGGGGCGUUGGAGAAAUUCGGCGGUGUGGGCUGGACUCGCGGCUUCUGAGCUGGAUGGUGGAGUUGGGGCGGUCACGGGAUUCGACGGGAAGCCGGCCUGAGAGUGUGACCGGCCCCAUUGGGACUGAGAUACGGCCCAGACUCCUACGUGAGGCAUCAGUGGGGAAUAUUGCGCAAUGGGCGGAAGCCUGAUGCAGCAACGCCGCGUGCGAGAUGACGGCCUUCGGGUAGUAACCCGCUUUCGCCUGUGACGAAGCGUGAGUGCCGGUAAUGGGUAAAGAAGCACCGGCUACCUACUG